UUUCCUGUGUAGCGGUGAAAUGCGUAGAUAUAGGGAGGAACACCAGUGGCGAAGGCGGCCUCCUGGACUGAAACUGACGCUCAAACGCGAAAGCGUGGGGAGCAAACAGGGUUAGAUACCCUGGUAGUCCACGCCGUAAACGAUGAGAACUAGCCGUUUGGCCCCUUGAGGGCUUAGUGGCGCAGCUAACGCGAUAAGUUCUCCGCCUGGGGAGUACGGCCGCAAGGUUAAAACUCAAAUGAAUUGACGGGGGCCCGCACAAGCGGUGGAGCAUGUUGUUUAAUUCGAGGCAACGCGAAAAACCUUACCACCACUUGACAUCCACGGAACUUUCCAGAGAUGGAUUGGUGCCUUCGGGAACCGUGUGACAGGUGCUGCAUGGCUGUCGUCAGCUCGUGUCGUGAGAUGUUGGGUUAAGUCCCGUAACGAGCGCAACCCUUAUCCUUAUUUGCCAGCGGAUCAAGCCGGGAACUCUAAGGAGACUGCCGGUGACAAACCGGAGGAAGGCGGGGACGAGGUCAAGUCAUCAUGGCCCUUAUCGUGGUGGGCUACAAACGUGCUACAAUGGGCGGUACAAAGGGCUGCAAUCCCGCGAGGGGGAGCGAAUCCCCAAAACCGCUCGUAGUCCGGAUAGGAGUCUGCAACUCGACUCCUUGAAGCCGGAAUCGCUAGUAAUCGCGAAUCAGCAUGUCGCGGUGAAUACGUUCCCGGGCCUUGUACACACCGCCC
This 729-nucleotide ribosomal RNA is filed under the name uncultured bacterium. Its description in RNAcentral is "bacterial SSU rRNA". It matches the Rfam family "Bacterial small subunit ribosomal RNA", at positions 667 to 1395 of the family's 1533-position model. The record is from RNAcentral.